Juglans microcarpa x Juglans regia is the source of this 164-nucleotide long non-coding RNA. RefSeq lists it as uncharacterized. The record is from RefSeq and is a predicted model, not a curated record. NCBI's taxonomy places the organism in Eukaryota, Viridiplantae, Streptophyta, Magnoliopsida, Fagales, Juglandaceae. The transcript is spliced from 2 exons.
CCAUGUGCUGCAAUUUUCCCAUUAGUUCAGUGCCUUAUACGGACAAUUCACAGUUACAAUUGGCAACAUAAUUUGUUUCUACAUGUUCCUGGCGGAAGUAAUCUCUGUAAUAAGUUCGAGAGGUUAUCUGAAGACCAUAUGUAUAACUACAAACGCAAAAUAAA